GUUCGGACAAAUGGUACAUGUGCCUGCUCGACCGAGCAAUGGCACGACGCUAUCGUCCGAGG
RNAcentral lists this small RNA (62 nucleotides) under Tetranychus urticae (two-spotted spider mite). Its description in RNAcentral is "sRNA tetur04g09431". Lineage: Eukaryota; Metazoa; Arthropoda; Arachnida; Trombidiformes; Tetranychidae. The record is from RNAcentral.